Long non-coding RNA from Bufo bufo (common toad), 159 nucleotides. RefSeq lists it as uncharacterized. Lineage: Eukaryota; Metazoa; Chordata; Amphibia; Anura; Bufonidae. The record is from RefSeq and is a predicted model, not a curated record. The transcript has 2 exons.
UGAUGGGCGAUCCCCCGUGUAAGAGUGAGGUGGAGGAGGACAUUCCAGGAGAUGUCACCAUAGAGAGUUCCAGUAAAAAUAUUAAGAGCAAAGCUAUAUUAUCACUAAAUUAUAAAGAAGAAGAUAAAGAUCUCCUGCAGCUCUCCUCAGGAGAAAACC